UAGUUGGUGGGGUAAAGGCCUACCAAGGCGACGAUCUGUAGCGGGUCUGAGAGGAUGAUCCGCCACACUGGAACUGAGACACGGUCCAGACUCCUACGGGAGGCAGCAGUGGGGAAUUUUGGACAAUGGGGGCAACCCUGAUCCAGCCAUGCCGCGUGAGUGAAGAAGGCYUUCGGGUUGUAAAGCUCUUUCGUCCGGGAAGAAAUCGCACAGGCUAAUACUCUGUGUGGAUGACGGUACCGGAAUAAGAAGCACCGGCUAACUACGUGCCAACAGCCGCGGUAAUACGUAGGGUGCGAGCGUUAAUCGGAAUUACUGGGCGUAAAGCGUGCGCAGGCGGUUUUGUAAGACAGGCGUGAAAUCCCCGGGCUCAACCUGGGAACUGCGCUUGUGACUGCAAGGCUAGAGUACGGCAGAGGGGGGUGGAAUUCCACGUGUAGCAGUGAAAUGCGUAGAGAUGUGGAGGAACACCGAUGGCGAAGGCAGCCCCCUGGGCCGAUACUGACGCUCAUGCACGAAAGCGUGGGUAGCAAACAGGAUUAGAUACCCUGGUAGUCCACGCCCUAAACGAUGUCAACUAGGUGUUGGGUGGGUAAAACCAUUUAGUACCGUAGCUAACGCGUGAAGUUGACCGCCUGGGGAGUACGGCCGCAAGGUUAAAACUCAAAGGAAUUGACGGGGACCCGCACAAGCGGUGGAUGAUGUGGAUUAAUUCGAUGCAACGCGAAAAACCUUACCUACCCUUGACAUGUCCGGAAUCCCUGAGAGAUUGGGGAGUGCCCGAAAGGGAAUCGGAACACAGGUGCUGCAUGGCUGUCGUCAGCUCGUGUCGUGAGAUGUUGGGUUAAGUCCCGCAACGAGCGCAACCCUUGUCGUUAAUUGCCAUCAUUAAGUUGGGCACUUUAGCGAGACUGCCGG
This 918-nucleotide ribosomal RNA is filed under the name uncultured bacterium. RNAcentral describes it as "bacterial SSU rRNA". It matches the Rfam family "Bacterial small subunit ribosomal RNA", at positions 246 to 1155 of the family's 1533-position model. The record is from RNAcentral.